This 328-nucleotide ribosomal RNA is filed under the name uncultured eukaryote. Its description in RNAcentral is "partial 18S ribosomal RNA". It matches the Rfam family "Eukaryotic small subunit ribosomal RNA", at positions 1470 to 1796 of the family's 1831-position model. The record is from RNAcentral.
CCCUUAGAUGUUCUGGGCCGCACGCGCGCUACACUGUUCGACGCAGCGAGUCUUAACCUUGACCGAAAGGUUUGGGUAAUCUUCAGCAAAGUCGAACGUGAUGGGGAUCGAUCAUUGCAAUUAUUGAUCGUGAACGAGGAAUUCCUAGUAAGUGCAAGUCAUCAGCUUGCGCUGAUUACGUCCCUGCCCUUUGUACACACCGCCCGUCGCUCCUACCGAUUGGGUGUGCUGGUGAAAUGUUCGGAUCGGCCGUUUGUCGCGGUUUCCGCGGCUCGUGGCUGAGAAGUUCAUUAAACCCUCCCACCUAGAGGAAGGAGAAGUCGUAACA